Molecule: ribosomal RNA, 17 nt
Filed under: Schwanniomyces occidentalis
Lineage: Eukaryota; Fungi; Ascomycota; Pichiomycetes; Serinales; Debaryomycetaceae
Also listed under: 9 other names
Description: partial 26S ribosomal RNA
Source: RNAcentral
UGACCUCAAAUCAGGUA